This 1251-nucleotide ribosomal RNA is filed under the name Triticum aestivum (bread wheat). RNAcentral describes it as "partial small subunit ribosomal RNA". The record is from RNAcentral. Lineage: Eukaryota; Viridiplantae; Streptophyta; Magnoliopsida; Poales; Poaceae.
GCGAAGCGCCCUCCGGCGACCGAUGCGGCCGCCUCCAUCCCGGGCGCCGACGACGUGUUUCCGCUGGCGUCCAUGCCCGCUGACUUGGUCGAGCUCGUUGGCUGGCUAGUGCUUGCGGACGACGAUCUGCGAGGCUAUGUCCGCUUCCGCUCCGUGUGUACGCACGUGCGGUCCAGCACGCCAUGCCCGCGCGCAAAUGGCAUCGCCGUCGCGCGCUUCCACCCACGCCGGUGGACGAUGCUGCCCGAGGGCCACGAAUUCCACCUUGAAGAUGGCCGGAUGCGUUUCCUCAACCUUGACACCGGAGCAUUCGUCCGCCGCCGGCUCCCUCUUCUCGACGACCACCGCGUCCUCUGCCCGGUCGACGGCCUCCUCCUCCUGCAGCGGAGCCGGCAACACGAUAAUGAAAACGGCGAUGAUGUUUGCCUACUUCACCCCUUCACUGGGACCGUUGCCAAGUUCCCGCCAAUCACGUAUGUCACGAUGAGCUUGGGAUCAAUCCAUUGGAGUUCCCGCAUGAACCGUCCUUACUUGUCGCCAGGCAGGGUGACCGCUUCCUUGAGCAUUGGUGCUGGCAGAGUUCCCAUGCUCAUGAUCGUGCUUCUAGAUCUGCGGCGCAUACUAUUUGCUACCACCAAGGACAAGCAAUGGAGUUUCUCGGCCUGGAGCUUCUCCCCAGAUAACAGCAUCAUAUCAUCCCAAGGAAAAUUUUACAUGCUCCACAAGCCCACGCCAAGCACAGAUGAACUAUGGAUUUUUCAGAUCGACCCGCCUCGCCACGAGAAGACGUCGGGAUUAACUUCAUCUUCGUUUUCGUUUCAGCCACCAAAGGUGAUCACCAUAUUAUGUCCCAAGGCCAAGAUCCGCAGCCCUUUUGAACUGGUAGAAUGUGACUCAAAGAUCUUGCUCGUCGGUUCCAGCAGCGAUCACUCCAAGCGCAUGCUGGUGUACAGCAUAGCGGAUCUCAUCCAUGGAAGACUUGUCCCAUUAAAAAGCAUCGGGGGCAAUACUCUCUUGAUUGAUAUUGCAAGCAGUGAAAGUGUCAUCAGAAGGAGCUUGAGUGUCGGUUUUAUGGCCGUUCCUACCAUUACAGGUGACACCAUUGUACGCAGGGAUCUUACACGUUAUAGAUAUCUUGAACAGUAUCACCUCGGUAAUGUCACUUGGUCAUCAAGAGCGGUGGUGUGCACGAAACAUAAUGCGUACUGGCGUUGCACCUGUGGCCUCAUUAACCAUAUCUACGGCGUCUGC